UUAGUUGCUAAUGUGGCCGAUAUUUUCAAUAUGUUGUGUUAAUAUUGCAUGGGCAUAUGCAAAAAUAAGGCACUUUAGCAGCCAAGAG
RNAcentral lists this microRNA precursor (88 nucleotides) under Drosophila virilis. RNAcentral's name for it is "microRNA dvi-mir-9695 precursor". Lineage: Eukaryota; Metazoa; Arthropoda; Insecta; Diptera; Drosophilidae. The record is from miRBase by way of RNAcentral.